This 8220-nucleotide long non-coding RNA is filed under the name Triticum aestivum (bread wheat). Its description in RNAcentral is "long non-coding RNA (TAES_LNC022523)". Lineage: Eukaryota; Viridiplantae; Streptophyta; Magnoliopsida; Poales; Poaceae. The record is from RNAcentral.
CCGCCGCCAUCUUCUUCUCGGAGCGCAUCCGCCUUACCUCGCCUCGUCCGCACCAAGCCUCGGCGACCCCUCCUGGACCGAGCCUCCGCUGGCCACCUCCGCCUCGAGCUGCCGGAGAUCGCGCCCGCCGCUUCAAGUCCCCUCUGCGUCCCGCGCCGCCGCGGCUCUGUUUCCAGUCGAGCAGAGGACGCCCGCUCGUCUUUCCCGUUGACUGUGUGCCGCCCGCGUUGGCCUAUCCAGCCACUGGCCCAGCUCCAGCCACUCCCGCACCGCAUCAGGCCCAGAUCUGCCAGCUCCCUGGAGCCCAAUGUGAGCAGCGCAGAUCCAUCUAUUUCGGCCCGGCUACAUUUUUUUCCCCUGCUGAUGAUUUUUCUAUUUGUCCAAUGCAUGCAUAAUUACAGGAAUGCCACUGUUUUGUAUUGUUAAUAACUAAACAUGCAUGCAUCCAAAUUAAACAAACUAUAUAUGUAAAAUGCUUAGAAUUUCAUCUAGUUUCAUAAUAUGCCAUUUUCAUCCAUGUUUAAAAUGUUUAACUUGUUGUUUGUUUAAAUUUGCUAACAUGCCAUGUUAAAAUGCUUUAUUUCAUAACUAAAUAGCCGUAGCUCCAAUUUUAAUAAACUUUAUAUGUAAAUGGGGUGUAAAAAUGCCUAGAUUAACUUGGUGCACUCAUCUUUCAUGUUUAACAACAUUAAAAUAUGGUUUAGGGCAGAACAGUACCAAAUCUAAAAUAUGCACAUGGGGAUUUUCCGGACUUGUUGUUUAUUAUUCCGGCCUCAUUUAAAUUUGCCUAAAUAGAUGACUUUAUUAUGUUUCACCUCUUGCCAUGUUUAACAACAUUUAAUAUUGUUGGGUACAUAACCGAGAUCAAACUAAAUAAUUGCAUGUGGUGUUUUGUCAAUAUGCAACUCGUUGCAUAUUGAGCUCCACUUAAUUUGUAGUAUUGUGUGUUGCAGUUUGCCAUGCCAUGCCUCUUUAAACCGGACAUGCAUCAUACUUGAUUGUGCAUCAUGCCAUGAUUAUGCUUGUGUGUUUACCAUGUUGUUUGUUUCUUUUCGGUGUUGCUUCUUAGUUCCGGUAAUGUUGCGAUUGUGAGGAUUCGUUCGACUACGUCCGCUUGUCUUCUUCAUGGACUCGUUCUUCUUCCUAGCAGGAUUUCAGGCAAGAUGACCGCUACCCUGGAUCUCAAUACUAUCAUUGCUAUGCUAGUUGAUUCGUUCUAUCGCUAUGUUGCGCUACCUAUCACUUGUUCUUCAAGCCUCCCAAAUUGCCAUGAACCUCUAACCUUUGACACCCUUCCUAGCAAACCGUUGCUUGGCUAUGUUACCGCUUUGCUCAACCCCUCUUAUAGCGUUGCUAGUUGCAGGUGAAGUUGAAGAUUGCUCCAUGGUGGACAGGAUUUUGGUUGGGAUAUCACAAUAUCUCUUAUAUUAUUAAUGCAUCUAUAUAUUUGGUAAAGGGUGGAAGGCUCGGCCUUAUGCCUGGUGUUUUGUUCCACUCUUGCCGCCCUAGUUUCCGUCAUACCAGUGUUAUGUUCCCGGAUUUUGCGUUCCUUACGCGGUCGGGUGAUUUAUGGGACCCCCUUGACAGUUCGCUUUGAAUAAAACUCCUCCAGCAAGGCCCAACCUUGGUUUUACCAUUUGCCUCACCACCACCUAUAUUUCCCUUGGGAAUAAUUAACCCAAGGGUCAUCUUUAUUACAGCCCCCCCAGGCCAGUGCUUGUCUAAGUGUUGGUCCGAACCAGAGCCACUUGCAGCGCCACCUCGGGGAAACUCGAGGGCUGGUUUUAGUUGUACGUAGUGUUCAUCCGGUGUUUCCCUGAGAACGAGAUAUGUGUAGCUCCUAUCGGGAUUGUCGGCGCAUCGGGCGGUCUUGCUGGUCUUGUUUUACCAUUGUCAAAAUGUCUUGUAAACCGGGAUUCCGAGUCUGAUCGGGUCUUCCUGGGAGAAGGUCUAUUCCUUCGUUGAUCGUGAGAGCUUGUCAUGGGCUAAGUUGGGACACCCCUGCAGGGUAUAAUCUUUCGAAAGCCGUGCCUGCGGUUAUUGGCAGAUGGGAAUUUGUUAAUGUCCGGUUGUAGAUAACUUGACACGAGAUCCGAAUUAAAACGCAUCAACCGUGUGUGUAGCCGUGAUGGUCUCUUCUCGGCGGAGUCCGGGAAGUGAACACGGUUUCUGGGUUAUGUUUGACGUAAGUAGGAGUUCAGGAUCACUUCUUGAUCAUUGCUAGCUUCACGACCGUUCCGCUUGCUCUCUUCUCGCUCUUAUUUGCGUAUGUUAGCCACCAUAUAUGCUUAGUCGCUGCUGCAACCUCACCACUUUAAUCCUUCCUUCCCUUUGAGCUUUGCUAGUCUUGAUACCAUGGUAAUGGGAUUGCUGAGUCCUCAUGGCUCACAGAUUACUACAACAACAGUUGCAGGUACAGGAUUCAUGCGAUGAUCAUGACGCGAGAGCGAUGCUUGCUUGCGUUGAGUUCUUCUUCUGCUUCUUCGAUCAGGGGAUAGGUUCCAGGUCGGCAUCCUGGGCUAGCAGGGUGGAUGUCGUUUGUGUUUCUGUUUGUGUUUCAUCUGUAGUUGGAUGAUGCUCUGAUGUAUUGUGAUGUUGUAUUCGUGUGGCAUUGUAUGCCUUAUGUAUGUAUCCCAUCUAUUAUGUAAUGUUGAUGUAAUGAUAUCCACCUUGCAAAAGUGUUUCAAUAUGCGGGUCUAUCCUUGGUGGGACCUUCGAGUUCCUUUUGGAUAGGGUCGCAUAUUGGGCGUGACAAGUUGGUAUCAGAGCCUCGACCGACCAUAGGAGCCCCCUUGAUUGUUGGCCGUUGUUGAGUGUAGAAGAAAACUAUUUUGAGUCUUAGGAUUAUAUAUAUCGGAGAGUAGGAUUCUUUUUACUCCUCAGCCCCUUCGUCGCUCUGGUGAGGUCUCCCGACGUAGAUGUUUUGACUUUCCUCUCCUCAAAUUUCACUAAUUUUUUUUUAGGAUCACGCGGGUAUCUUGGAAUCGUUCCGAUGGUUUUGUGACGAGAACAUUGUUCUUGGUGCCUCCUGUCUAUUUAUGUGGCUUUGACCCGGGGAGUCGAGCUCUGAGGUGUUGUCGUCACAAUUUUAUCGUUGCAGUUCUGGAAUACCUGAGAUUUGCCGACAUCGAAAAUCUCUUUUAUGCAGUUGUUGGUGAGAUAACACCGAUAACCCAGUACUGGGGCGAGCUCGGGAGUAUUGCCAUAGCUCGUAUAACGGAUGCUUUUCGAAGGUUGAGGUACACGAUUUCCGAAGGUUUCUUGGUUAUGUGUUGACGGAUGGAUACAGCUUAGAUGUAGGUAUUGUUAGUUUGGGUGAUAUAUAUUGCUUCUCCUGUAUCCCCAACACCAGAUUGCAUAACCAGAAAGUUUCGGGAGUUUUAUAGGUGGGAAUUCAAGUAGCUCCUAGAAUAUCUUUUCGACAGAUGCAUGAUAUGAGAUUGGGGUUCGACGUCUAGUGGUCCGCCUUUCCACGGUCGUUUUUACAGUGGUCUCGUUGUGUCUUAAAGAACCCUUGGCUAUGCUGGUUCGGGGACACUUCGUAUGUCAUGUGCACUGCCUUGUACAUGAUGGUACUGUACAAUCGAGCCCGUGUGGGCCCCACCACGAAAACUUCGGACGAAAUCUCUAUCAUAUGUUUGUUCCGGCUUAUUCUGCAAGCCAAAUCCUUUGUUUUUGUUUUAUUUGUGGUAUUCGAGUUGCUUCGAUGUCAAGUGUUGAAUCCAUACCUUUCCUAAACGGUGUUCUCAUAUUGCUAUGUGAAUACUAAUCCUUUUGAUCAUUGAGGUUGUCAUGUUAAUUCUUUUCCAACUGGUGCGCUUCUCUUCGAGAUGAUCCCAUCAUUCUCCCCAUCCGCAAGAUCAAUUCUAAGUUUUCUCAAUGGUGUUUGUUCCGUUUUCCCAAGUUGCCUUUGUUUUCCCGCCCUCCCACCCUUUUUCUUCAAGGACUCAGAUAUCUUAAUCAAGCAUCCAUCUUAUGGAUGUGAAGUUUCUCCAUUCUUUUCCCGUCAAUAUUCUAAUCCGGUGAUCCCUCGUGAAGAUGCUCAACAGUUUCAAGUUCAUCAAUCUUCAUCCUCGUAUUCUUUUCCGGUGGAUCCAAUUCAAGCUUUCAGUGUCGAUCAUAUCCUUUCCUCGUUUCAAAUAUUUUUUCUCAUGCCGGUGUAUCUCUUGAUCAUUCACCUCUCGCUUACCAUUUGUUUCGGUGUGCUGAAGAUACCUCAAAAGUUUCGUGUUAUCAUUCCUAAUCUGUUCAAGAUGUCUCGAGGUUGUUAUCUCUUUUGAAUCAUUUAAUUCAACCGGUGCAAUUUCCCUUUCUAGUAAUUUUUCGAAGGUGUAUCUUUUGAGUGGGCCCUAACCCACAGGUCUUUUCCCAGGAUCUUACCUGACUCUUCUAAUUUUCCUCGAGCCAUUCCCAAAUUCUUUUCCAAGUUUGACGUAAGAAUGAAUUCUCAUCAGUCACAUGCCUUUUCCAAGAUCGAUUUCAAAUCAUUUCAUUGUUGGCUCAACCUCUUCGCUUGUCAUCAUACCGGAGUAUCUCAGUAAUUUUGCUGGUGUUUCUCGUCAUCAUUCUCAACAUUUGAAGACCGAAGAAGAGUUUUUCCUCUAAAUCUUGGCCAUUCUCUUGAAGAUUCAUGGUUCUAGCUUGAUGCCAUCCUCUCAUAAUUGUUUUCGAUUGUGAGAAUUUUUUUCAUCCAUCCGAAGCAAUUCAAGAGACUUUUCAGAUUGAUUCUCCGUAGCCCAUCAUCUCAGAAUUAUUCAUUCAAGCUUUCAGCUCUCGUUCUCCAAAUCUUACCGGUAUCGUUCAAAUACCUUCUAAUCAGUUCAUGAUUUCUUUGUUCUCAUGUAUCUAAAUCCCCUCAAGUAUCUUCAUUCAUUUUCUAAUUCUUCCCGGUGUUUCUUUAUCUUUUCUUCGUUCAUUUUCAAUUCUUACGGUGGUUCAUUCAAGAUUCCUCUUCCUUUGUUAUCAUAUCAAUUCAUUCAUUGUUAACAAAUCCAACUGGUGGUUCCAUCAAGACCUUCCCAAGUUUAUGAUAUAUCUCUCUUAAUUCUUUCUACGAGAAUAAGUAGUAUGCCAAAUCCGUUGCUUGUCAUCAAUUUAAAUUGGUGAAGGAUACGCAUACCGUAAUUCUUAUUCUUGUUUCAUCCAAGUGAUUAAUUCCUUCUUCCGGAGAUUGUUCAUGAUGAAGUAAUUCUCGGUUCUAGUAUUCAUCUUUUCUUUCCGGAGUUCCAAGUUCUCUCGGUUAUAUCAUCGCAAAGCUCCAUCUAAAUCAUCGCAAGGCUUCACCUUGUUCUUUCAACUUCUCUUCCUUUCUAUCAUCCUUUUAUUACCAGAGCUCUUCAUUGAGGCUCUACAUGGUGGUUCGUCAAGGAUUCUUUUCAUUCUUCAAUUGUUCUUCAAGAUUUCUCUUGAAGUUAAGAUCCGCCAAGCUAUACUCAAAAUUAAACAUGGUGCUAAACACAUGUCUUGUUUUGAGAAGCUCAAGUAUUCUUCAUCUUGCAUUCCAAAGUGCAAUUCUUUCUACCUUAUCUUUUGAGAUGGUGUUAUAUCAUUCUUGACAGUUUCCCUUCAAGUUUUAUGAUUCGCAAGUUGUCAAGAAUGAGAUAUGGUAAAACCAUCAUUUUCUCUCCGAUCAUGAAUUGUUUCAACCCAUAUUAAUCUCUUCGUUGGAGUUAUCUCGUGUCAUAUUUCACCUAAAGCCUUCCCUAAGGAAUGUUGCUAUUGUGGUGCUUAUCAAUGAUCCAGGUUUUUUUCUGCUAUCCUCUCGGCAAAAGGAGUUGUCAUCUUCUUGUUGUCCUCAAUCCAAUCUAUUGUUUCCGUUAGUGGCAGAAUUUCGCCUCAAUUUUGGGAUGUUUUCCAUAAGCCCACUACAAGCUUAUUCUUUUCGUUGUUGGCUUUCCAACAACCUCGUUGUAACCAUCUUGGAAGGAUGCUUUCCAAGCUCACUUGUGGCAGAAGUUGGCUUUUUCUCCUACAUUCUGUUAUUCCAAUGAUCUAUCUUCUAUUCUUUCUUUCGGAGGCAUUGUAAUGUUGCUCUUUUCACUCAUAAUCUCAAUUGUGAGGAUCGUGUUCUUUUCUCUCUUAUCCAUUUAACCGGUGUGUCGUGUUUUCAUUCGAGUUCUCUCAUCUUAUCAAGUUUUGCCUCCUUCCUCAACCGGAGUGCUGUCUGAAAUCUUUCUUACCCCUUGUGCCAUUCUUUCAAUAGUUUCGGAGGUAGUGUGUUGUUGAUCUCAUCAAGUAUCCUCUCAUCUUGUAAGUUCAUGUUCUAUUCCUUCCAUGCUCAACCGGAGUGCUGCCCGAAUUCUUCCUCUCCUCCAUCUAGUUUUAACCGGAGUGGUUUCAAUAUCUAUCUUAUCACUAAACCUCUUGGUUCUCGUCGUAUCCCUUGUUCCUCUUUUCUAACGGAGUGUUUUCAACUUUGCUCAUCUUCGUUGUAUUCUUCCUUUCAUUUUGCUCAACCUCUCAAGGUUCGUGGUUUCACUCAUUGGUCGAAGAAGCAACUUAGUUUUACCGCUUAUCUUCCUCUUCCUUUUCCCUACGGUGCCAUCCUAGAUCUCGGGACGAGAUCCUCUCGUAGUGGUGGAGUGUUGUAACGCCCCGGAUACAACUUUCCAUAUUCGUAACUCCAACUCUUGCCUUUUCCGGAGAUGCUAUAUGAUAUUUCCUUCGUGGUUGGGUUUUUGUCGUUUGUUUUGCAUUUUGUUCUUGUUAUGCAUCUCAUCUCAUAGCAUCAUGUGCAUCGCAUCCAUAUGUUUUCAUAAAACUUGCAUCCGUUCGGGUUCCACCGGUUCUCUCCGUUGUCCUUUCUGAGCCCGACCACACUCGCACGCGCCCGCGGCACCUCCGAAAUAUUAUUUUAUAAGUGGCAUAAAAAUGUUCUCGGAAUCGGUUGCAACUUGUCGUGCGGUCUUAUUAUAGUGUAGACAGGCCGCCUGCCAAGUUUCAUCGCAUUCGGAGUUCGUUUGACUUCCCAACCGUUAUAUUUAUAACCGCAAUAUAGCCGGUCUAUCGUCGGACGUUUUCGGUAUCCGGAAACCGUGCCGGGCCACACUUCAUCCCUCUCUUCUCAGCCCAAGGCAUUCUACACAGCCCCCUAGGUCCAACAUACCCCCCCCCCCUCACGUCUGGAGCCGCCAGAUCGAGAUCCGAGGGUCCGACCCCCCUCUUUCGUGCGUCUGAAAACUUCCCCGAACCCGACCCGCUCAAUCAUCACCGUUGCAUUCAGAUCAUCCCCAAACAUCUAUAAAAUAUCUCUAUUUUCUUUAUUGGACUCCCUAGCCUAUUUUUUUCCCGUCCGUCCGGUUUCGAUCGGAGGGGCUAGUUUCCCUACCCAAUUCUUACCUGCUAUAUAUAGCAGAUGAAACCCUACCUAAACUAGUCCAACCCUAAAACCUAGGGAGCCUGUUCGGUCGCGCCGCCGCCACCUCCCACCUCAGGAUCCCUCCAAAUCCCAUCUGACCAAUCCUCUCGCGCAGCCACUUCCAGCCAACCAACCCGUGCAACCCUGGCCCCGCUUGAUCUGGUUCGAACCGAGGCAGCAGCCCCUCGCCCGAGCCUCUCCUCCGUUCCCGUCGCUGCCGGCGACGAGCCGCAGCUCGCCGGGGCACCCAAACGCCAUCAGCAACGAAGCCGGCAGGACCCGUCUCCUUCCCCCGUGUUUCUCCUUCCUCCUGUUUCUCUCUCCCUCUUCCCUCGCCUCACGUCUCUCCCUGUUGGUUGUCUAGGGAACAGCCAUGGUCGCCCGAUGGAGCUCCGGGUCAAGCCAUGUCGCCGCCGCCGUCCUGGAGCUUCUUCGCCGCUGGUGCCCGUCUUCAGCGCCCCAAAUCCAGCCGGCGUCUGCUCCUGCAUCGAGCAGGGGAGCGAGGAGGAGGAACCCCCAGCUCCCGUUGCCAUCUUGUUCUGUUCGUCGUCGUCUUCAUCCGAUCGGACAAGGCCCUGUGUCUCCGGCAUCGUCCCCGCCUCCAGGUCGCCGCGCCUCCACCCGCCGCCAUCUUCUUCUCGGAGCGCAUCCGCCUUACCUCGCCUCGUCCGCACCAAGCCUCGGCGACCCCUCCUGGACCGAGCCUCCGCUGGCCACCUCCGCCUCGAGCUGCCAGAGAUCGCGCCCGCCGCUUCAAGUCCCCUCUGCGUCCCGCGCCGCCGCGGCUCUGUUUCCAGUCGAGCAGAGGACGCCCGCUCAUCUUGCCGGUUGACCGUGUGCCGCCCGCGUUGGCCUAUCCAGCC